Molecule: ribosomal RNA, 450 nt
Filed under: uncultured bacterium
Lineage: Bacteria
Description: partial 16S ribosomal RNA
Rfam family: Bacterial small subunit ribosomal RNA
Source: RNAcentral
GUCGAGAAUAAUUCACAAUGGACGAAAGUCUGAUGGUGCAACGCCGCGUGGAGGAUGAAGGUCUUCGGAUUGUAAACUCCUGUCAUCGGGGAGUAAGACCUGGCGGUAAAUAGCCGACAGGGUUGAUAGUACCCGAAGAGGAAGGGACGGCUAACUUCGUGCCAGCAGCCGCGGUAAUACGGAGGUCCCAAGCGUUGUUCGGAAUCACUGGGCGUAAAGGGAGCGUAGGCGGCGUGGUAAGUCAGAUGUGAAAUCCCGGGGCUCAACCCCGGAACUGCAUCCGAUACUGCCAUGCUUGAGGGUUGGAGAGGUAGCUGGAAUUCUCGGUGUAGCAGUGAAAUGCGUGGAUAUCGAGAGGAACACUCGUGGCGAAGGCGAGCUACUGGACAACAUCUGACGCUGAGGCUCGAAGGCCAGGGGAGCAAAAGGGAUUAGAUACCCUAGUAGUCC